UGGGGAAUAUUGCACAAUGGGCGAAAGCCUGAUGCAGCAACGCCGCGUGAGUGAUGAAGGCCUUCGGGUUGUAAAGCUCUGUCUUCUGGGACGAUAAUGACGGUACCAGAGGAGGAAGCCACGGCUAACUACGUGCCAGCAGCCGCGGUAAUACGUAGGUGGCAAGCGUUGUCCGGAUUUACUGGGCGUAAAGGAUGCGUAGGCGGAUACUUAAGUCAGAUGUGAAAAUCCCGGGCUUAACUUGGGAACUGCAUUUGAAACUGGGGAUCUAGAGUGCGGGAGAGGAAAGUGGAAUUCCUAGUGUAGCGGUGAAAUGCGUAGAGAUUAGGAAGAACACCAGUGGCGAAGGCGACUUUCUGGACCGUAACUGGCGCUGAGGCAUGAAAGCGUGGGGAGCAAACA
This 402-nucleotide ribosomal RNA is filed under the name uncultured bacterium. RNAcentral's name for it is "bacterial SSU rRNA". It matches the Rfam family "Bacterial small subunit ribosomal RNA", at positions 355 to 774 of the family's 1533-position model. The record is from RNAcentral.